RNAcentral lists this ribosomal RNA (305 nucleotides) under uncultured bacterium. RNAcentral describes it as "bacterial SSU rRNA". It matches the Rfam family "Bacterial small subunit ribosomal RNA", at positions 337 to 658 of the family's 1533-position model. The record is from RNAcentral.
UCCUACGGGGGGCAGCAGUGGGGGAUAUUGCACAAUGGGGGAAACCCUGAUGCAGCGACGCCGCGUGUGGGAAGACGGUCCUCUGGAUUGUAAACCACUGUCCCCAGGGACGAAGAUGACGGUACCUGGGGAGGAAGCUCCGGCUAACUACGUGCCAGCAGCCGCGGUAAUACGUAGGGGGCAAGCGUUAUCCGGAUUUACUGGGUGUAAAGGGAGCGUAGACGGCACUGCAAGUCCGGAGUGAAAGCCCAAGGCUUAACCAUGGGACUGCUCUGGAAACUGUGGAGCUUGAGUGCGGGAGGGGG